RNAcentral lists this long non-coding RNA (331 nucleotides) under Eucalyptus grandis. Its description in RNAcentral is "long non-coding RNA (EGRA_LNC007946)". The record is from RNAcentral. Lineage: Eukaryota; Viridiplantae; Streptophyta; Magnoliopsida; Myrtales; Myrtaceae.
GCGGAUAAGGAAGACGCGCCGUAAAUUGAAUCUUCUAAAUGAGUGGGUUUUCUUUUUCCACCUCGAGAGGAUUAUACUAAUUCAAAGAGUAAAAGAGAUUGAUGAAGCAGAGACUCAAAAGAAAGCAGGAAACAGAAAACAGACAUAUAUAUAAUCCCAGAUCAAAAACUCAUCAGAACUCAAUUCGGAGCUACUUUGAAAAAAAAAAAAAACUCUCACACAAGUCAUCAGAAGAAAAUGGAGCAACCAAAGCUGGAAACAGAGGGGAAGAGAAGAGUAAGGAGUCAUUGAUUACCUGAGGAGUGCUCAAUAGCACUUCGAAGUCAUUCCC